GAUGAACGCUGGCGGCGUGCCUAAUACAUGCAAGUCGAGCGAACAGACGAGGAGCUUGCUCCUCUGACGUUAGCGGCGGACGGGUGAGUAACACGUGGAUAACCUACCUAUAAGACUGGGAUAACUUCGGGAAACCGGAGCUAAUACCGGAUAAUAUAUUGAACCGCAUGGUUCAAUAGUGAAAGACGGUUUUGCUGUCACUUAUAGAUGGAUCCGCGCCGCAUUAGCUAGUUGGUAAGGUAACGGCUUACCAAGGCAACGAUGCGUAGCCGACCUGAGAGGGUAAUCGGCCACAAUGGAACUGAGACACGGUCCAAACUCCUAAGGAAGGCAGCAGUAGGGAAUCUUCCGCAAUGGGCGAAAGCCUGACGGAGCAACACCGCGUGAGUGAUAAAGGUCUUCGGAUCGUAAAACUCUGUUAUUAGGGAAGAACAAAUGUGUAAGUAACUAUGCACGUCUUGACGGUACCUAAUCAGAAAGCCACGGCUAACUACGUG
This 497-nucleotide ribosomal RNA is filed under the name uncultured bacterium. Its description in RNAcentral is "partial 16S ribosomal RNA". It matches the Rfam family "Bacterial small subunit ribosomal RNA", at positions 28 to 507 of the family's 1533-position model. The record is from RNAcentral.